UCGGUGAGCAAAGAAUCGCUUUCGCAGCAUUCGCACAGAAAGCCUCGCGCGCUUUCGCUCUACGCUGUGGGGAAAGUCCCCGGAGACGCCUGCUGCGUGGUCCUGCCCUCGUCCACCCCAAACCCGCCGAGAGGGGAAAGCGGCCGCCAUUAAUUCGGCGGUGGUACUCGGUGGGGGGCGGGGGCCGGUGGUGAAACUUGCAGUCUCUUUUACGAUCGCUUUGCCGUAUCGGAAAGGGCUUCAUCUCGCCAGACCCCAUGCGCUCGCUAUCUUGCUCGCUCAUCACCCAAUUACUCCCCCCUCCCAAGCGCGCCGCCUGUGCUCCCGACGGGCGAAGAUACGAGCUAGCCGAGACACGGUGGAUGCGUGGGGGCUUGAGGAAAAGGUGACGAGGCCCAUCGAGCGAGUGGCACCUUUGUUGCUCAUAGCCGAUAGUUAUGCGAUUGCGGCGCCCUGAGAUACCCCCAGUGGAUAUUUCACGCCGUAACUCAACGGGGCUAACUCUUGCUCAGCG
RNAcentral lists this RNase MRP RNA (514 nucleotides) under Botryobasidium botryosum FD-172 SS1. Its description in RNAcentral is "RNase MRP". It matches the Rfam family "RNase MRP". From Rfam's summary of the family: RNase MRP is an enzymatically active ribonucleoprotein with two distinct roles in eukaryotes. In mitochondria it plays a direct role in the initiation of mitochondrial DNA replication. The record is from Rfam by way of RNAcentral. Lineage: Eukaryota; Fungi; Basidiomycota; Agaricomycetes; Cantharellales; Botryobasidiaceae.